Molecule: ribosomal RNA, 300 nt
Filed under: uncultured Aquifex sp.
Lineage: Bacteria; Pseudomonadati; Aquificota; Aquificia; Aquificales; Aquificaceae
Description: bacterial SSU rRNA
Rfam family: Bacterial small subunit ribosomal RNA
Source: RNAcentral
GCGAACGCCGGCCCGGCUGCGGCGGAUAGACGUAGGGGGCGGACGUUGUGCGGAAGCAUUGGGGGGAAAGCGCGGGUAGGCGGUCCGGUAAGUCCGCUGUGAAAGUCGGGGGCUCAACCCGCGGAUGCCGGUGGAUACUGUCGGGCUUGAGUACGGAAGAGGCGAGUGGAAUUCCUGGUGUAGCGGUGAAAUGCGCAGAUAUCAGGAGGAACACCAAUUGCGAAGGCAGCUCGCUGGGACGUUACUGACGCUGAGACGCGAAAGCGUGGGGAGCAAACAGGAUUAGAUACUCUAGUAGUC